Molecule: unclassified non-coding RNA, 376 nt
Filed under: soil metagenome
Description: partial contains 5.8S ribosomal RNA, internal transcribed spacer 2, and large subunit ribosomal RNA
Rfam family: 5.8S ribosomal RNA (bases 1-120)
Source: RNAcentral
GAUGAAGAACGUAGCGAAGUGCGAUAAGUAAUGUGAAUUGCAGAAUUCCGUGAAUCAUCGAAUCUUUGAACGCAAAUUGCACUUUCUGGUAUUCCGGAGAGUAUGCCUGUUUGAGGGUCAGUGUAAUAAAAAUAAAUCGUGGUUACCACUUUUCGUGGUGACGCUUCGGAAUUGAGUCGUCUUACCUUCGGUUAAGUGACUUAAAAUUUUUUCAUACGAUUUCGAAACGUAUUUAAUGUAUUAUGUAUGUUCACGAAUAUCGAAUGUUUAUUAGGUGCGGUCAUUUUCAUGAAUUCGCGUCUAUAAUUUUUUUUUUUUUUGACCUCAAAUCAGGUAAGAAUACCCGCUGAACUUAAGCAUAUCAAUAAGCGGAGGA